AUACUUGGGGCAAAGACAUGGACAGACACAGCAAAUCAGAGUCUCCCGCUUGGCAUGAGUGUGUGUGUGUGUGUGCGUGUGUGUGUGUGCGCGCGCGUGCAUGUGUGUGCACAUGUGUGUGUGCAGGAGUCUGUGAGCCUUAGAGCUUCAGUGCCAGUCUUGCUUCCCUCUUCUUCCCUUACUCUCUUUCCCAAGCCUUCACCUCCCACUCCACCCACAGUGUUCUCUGUAUGCGGCUAAGGAUCACAGAAUAAUUGAAACUGGAGUAAAGCUUAGACCCACUCCCUGGUGCCCAUGGAAAAACCGAGGCCCGGCGAAGGGGCUGAGCUCCUGCCACCUUGCAGCGCCAAAGACCACAUCCGGGACUCCGGCCCAGCUCUUCGGACUUCCCAACCCACCGCUACAAGGAGCCGCCCACAGAGCCAGAGCCAUGGAGAAGCAAAGAGCCAGGCUUUAUUUCCAGCUCUUCUGCUGAAACUUGGACCUUGGUUUCCUCAUUUGGAGAAGGGGGUCGCUGGACCAGUCGAUGCUAAUAGUCCUGCAGCCCAUCCUCUGGAGCUGCUCUGCCUGUGCGGAUGGCGCUCUUCCUGAUUUCCCAUCUGCCCCCUCCCCUGGCUUCUCCAGGGCCUUUCCUGCUUCCCUGCUCCUGACAGCCUUCGAGCCUGGGACGCAAACCUGGUGGGGUGGGGAAGUCUGUGUUCAGCUCCAAGUGGGCUGGGGCUGCUUCUGAGGCUCUUCUGGCUCUGCAGUUAUUUCUGCCCUGCAGUGAAGGAUCAUGACAUGUGAAGCACUGUCUGGUGCCCUGGCACACAGUAGGGGCGCCCCCUAGUCCACUCCUGCCCCUCCUACCUCUCAUCCUUCAUCCGCUUCAGUCACUGCAGAAGCCCCACUGUGUUUUCUGGUUUCCGGUUCCGCUCAGUCCUAUGUCGCGUUCCUCCAGUCAGAACCCUCGAAUGGUUCCCGCUGCUUUCAGGGAGAAGACUGGAUGGGAUUCACUGCCUGUAGCCCCGAUGGGCCCAGCUGUGCCCACUUCCCCAGGCUGGCUUCCAGACCCACCAUGCUUUUUCCAUCUUGGGCCCCAAGUAAACUCUACCCUCUCUAGUGGUCCCUUUCCCCAGAGUCCUUGGGACACCAGAGAGGGUUUGCCACCUCACGGUAGGUUCUUUCACCAUCACCCUGACAGUGAAAUGCCAUUUUGACAGAAAGGUCCCUUGCCCUGAAAGCAGUUUGGGGCAUCUUUAGUGCUGACUGCAUUUGUUUAAUACCUAGUACAUCGUAGAUAUUUGUUGAGUAAAGGAAUGAGUAAUUAAAUGUAGUUGGAAUGAGACUCAGUACCUUCUGUGAAAUCUGGACCCAGAACUCCCUGAAGGGGUGUCACCCUCUUGUGAAUAGGCACCUACCUUCCCUGCAAGUUCCUCUUUUCCCUCCUGACUCUUGACUUUUGAGAUUCUCAGACCCUCAAAUUUCUUUUUAAACCUUCCUCUGGCCCGACAACAACAUCACCCCAGUCAAGCAACAGACUUUAGAUGGACAUUUUCAGUUCCCCUCAUCUUCAUUUGACAAGUACAGUCACUUCCAUGCCUUGAUUAUGUUUUGGUUCUUGAGGCUACAGCCAGCUGCGGUUUUUCUCCACUCUUGUUGGCAUUGGAGAGGAAAGUCGUUCAGGAGAAGCAGCUAACUCAGCUGGGACCAGGGGAGAAGUAUUGGGCUUCAGCACCAUCCUGGGGAAGAGGCGGGCCUUCAUGGCUGUGGCUGGAGCAGAGGUGGUUGGAAUCCUUAGUUGAAUCACUCUGGUCAAAGUUCCUCAGAGUAUAUUGAGAGAACAGGGUUUUGUUGAGGUAUUUUGCCAAAGAAAGAAUUCUGUGCUUGGAUAUAUCUGGGGAGCUAGUCCCACUCAAUUAGUCCUUAGUCUAAAGCUGCAGAAGCCAAGUCUCCUAAUUUAAACUUAGAAAGGAGUUAUUCUAAGGACCAGAGUAGCUCAAAGAAUCUCCUGGAGAGUCAGGAAAUUAAGGUCAGAGGCAAAGCAGCCAAGAACAACACCCAAAGUCACAUUGUAAGACUUGUCUCCAGGAGACCCUACUGCUGCACAGAUUCUUUGAUUUGAGCCACCAGCUCUGUCAGUCCUGGAUGUCCCCU
This is a long non-coding RNA of Fukomys damarensis (Damara mole-rat), 2136 nucleotides long. Lineage: Eukaryota; Metazoa; Chordata; Mammalia; Rodentia; Bathyergidae. The record is from Ensembl.